RNAcentral lists this small nuclear RNA (163 nucleotides) under Castor canadensis (American beaver). RNAcentral's name for it is "U1 spliceosomal RNA (ENSCCNG00000011619.1)". It matches the Rfam family "U1 spliceosomal RNA". Rfam says of the family: U1 is a small nuclear RNA (snRNA) component of the spliceosome (involved in pre-mRNA splicing). Its 5' end forms complementary base pairs with the 5' splice junction, thus defining the 5' donor site of an intron. There are significant differences in sequence and secondary structure between metazoan and yeast U1 snRNAs, the latter being much longer (568 nucleotides as compared to 164 nucleotides in human). Lineage: Eukaryota; Metazoa; Chordata; Mammalia; Rodentia; Castoridae. The record is from RNAcentral.
AUACUUACCUGGCAGGGGAGAUACCAUGAUCAAGAAGGUGGUUUUCCCAGGGUGAGGCUUAUCCAUUGCAUUCCAGAUGUGUUGAUGCCUUCAAUUUCCCGAAAUGAGGGAAACUCAACUUCAUAAUUUGUGGCAGUGGCAGACUAUGUUUGCUCUCUCGCCU